GACGAAGUGGCCAGGGAGAAGGAAGUGUGGGUUUCCCUGCUUAGACUGCUGCCCCUGCAACCCGACCCGGAAAAGUGGUAGAAGGUGGAUAGAUGGAUGUAUAGAUGGAAGAUAUUAUAGGUCUUAACUGCUUUCUAAUUUUGUGACACAUAUUUAUAGAGUAAUGAUAUUGUUUAAUUCAGUCCUUAUUGUUGUUUCCUGUUGUAUGGCCGUGGAUGGUUUUCUUUCAGGUACCACCUGCUGGUGUAGCAAUUCACAAAUGAAACGUGACCCACAAAUAGACAGGAUAUGAUGCACAAAUAUGCAAAACCACUCUGUAUUUUUGUGGGUAUUUUACACAGUGUAAAUUUUAAAAAUACAUAUUUAUGGAUAGUGAAAUAUUUGUGGAUCAUGGUACAUGCGUUACAAAUAAUGAAAUCUAAUGUAUACUUCCAUACAUGGGAGUUUGCUCAAGCAGUCUACUUGUGGUUUGUGGAUUUGGAAAAGGCAUAGGACUCUGUCCCGUGGGAGGUCCUGCAGGGGGUGUUUCAGGGGUAUGGGGUUCACUGUGUGCAAACAGAGUGAGAGCUUGGUCUGCACUGUCAGUAGUAAGUCAGACUCGUUCCCAGUGGGUAUUAGACUGCAGGCCUGCCCUUGGUCAAUGAUUCUGUUCAUAACUUUUAUGGACAGAAUUGCUAUGCAUAGCCAAGGCGCAGGGAAGGUCCAGUUUGGUGACCUCAGGAUUGCGUCACUGCUUUCAGCAGAUCAUGUGGUCCUGUUGGCUUCAUCUGGCUGUGACCUGCAGCAUGCACUGGGGCGGUUUGCAGCUGAGUGUGAGGCAGCCAGAAUGCGGAUCAGCACCUCCUAGUCUGGUCAUGUGUCUCCACUGGAAAAGGGUGGAUUUCUUUGUUCUGUCAUGGGACAGAGGGAGCUGAUCUAUUGAUUUACCAGUCAAUCUAUAUUUCUACACUCACCCAUUGUCAUGAGCUUUGGUGACUGAAAGAAAGAGAUACAAGUGGCAGAAAUGAGCUUCCUCCUUAGGCUGUCUGGGCUCAGCUUUAGCGAUAUGGACAUGGAGCUCGGACAUUUGGCCGGAGUUCAAAGUAAAACUGCUGCUACUCUCCAUCGAAAGGAGCUAAUUCAGGUGGUUCGGGCAUCUGUCAAGGCGUUUUGGGCAUGUCAAACUGGGAGGAGAUCCUGGGGAAGACCCAAGACAUACUGGAGAGAGAAUAUAUUCUGGCUGGCCUGGGAACACCUUGGUAUUUCUCCAGAGAAGCUGGAGGAGAUGACUGGUGAGAGAGAGGUCUGGGAAUCCCUGCAGAUAUGAGGUGGAAAAUGAAUGAAGGAUGAGAAUAUUCCUGGUACAUUGGCCAUACACAAACUUCACGUAAUCUAAAGCUAAAGCGGCAUCCAUCUAGAUUUUAUAUUUUCAGUCAUGCUAGAACAGAAAAGUCAUUUUGGACAAUUCUAUGCUUCCAACUUUGUGGGAACAGUUUGCGGAAGGCCCUUUUCUGUGUUGGUGUGGAAGAACUUGACCGCGCCCCAUCGAACACCUUUGGGAUGAGCUAGAACAGAGAUUGUGAUUCAGGCCUUCACAUCCAACACCAGUGCCUGACCUCACAGAUGCAAACUAGAAGCCUGGAUUUGCAAAGCUGCAUAUUUUCGACUGUGGAAGGAUAUCCACAGAAUCUGGGGGACCUGCGAAUUCCACACACAACCAGUGGAGGGUGUCAGUUCCACAACCCAAGGGUGCUUUUCCACUGCACGAAGUACAGUACUUUCGGUACUUUCGCUUUUCCAUUGACUUCCGGUCUAGUUCCAGUACCGAAAGUGCCAAACCAACUGGGGUACUUCUUUGGUACUUUGGGGUGGGACUGGCAAACGUAUUUGCUGUCGAUUGGUUGUGCAAAUAGCCUGCUUCUGAAACACAAAAUACUUUAAAAUCUUUGGAAACACACAGUGAACAGCGAGAAAUGAAAUAAAAAGCACUAGAAACAAAAAUAUUAAAAAAGUAAAAUGGAAGGAUGGACAAACACAGGCUUUAAUCGCCAUAUGGUCAGAUGAACAGAUCCAGUGGGAUUUGGAUGCACGACUCAAAAUAAAAAAAUUAUUUGCCGUAAUAGCAAGCCGCUUGGAAGAAAUGGGGCACACGUGAAACACCCAACAAUGCCGCUUGAAAAUAAAAAAACUACAGGAAAGUAAUACCCACUGAGUCACUGGGGUGGACGCUUCCUUUAAUUUGUUUUGAAUACAAUUUUUAAAUCUAAAAAAUCACGACUCUCCAAAAGGAUGCUGGAAGAAGAUGUUUUUAUGAAAAAAAAUGUUACUUCAACUCAGUAACAUCUCACUAUAGCACAAUAAUAUAAUAAAACAUUAGUAUUGAAUGAAAUUCUUAACAUAUUUGGCUGCUGAUGUGACUGAGUGGUGAUCUACUGACGUGACAGCACUCUCUCCGUUUUGUGUUUUUACCAUUAGAAAAAAAGGUAGGCAGGAAACCUUUCCCAGGAACAAGUGGGCAGACAAAAACAUGCCUAAAGGAGAUUUAGCCUACCUACCGUGGCCGACAAAGGUCACUCUCGAAGGUCACAUAAAAGUCAUCACAUAAUAGAGACUAUGACUCCCAUCCAUCCAUUUUCCAAACCGUUUAUCCUACUGGGUUACGGGGGAGACUAUGACUCAUCAAUGCAAUUACAAAUGUUAAACAGUUCUUUGUCGGAACUGAAUAUUUUGCUCCCCUCCCUUUUACCCAUCUGUCAGCGAUUUGCAGGUGUCUCCCUCGAAAAAUGCUCCAUUAUGCCUUUGUUGUUCUACCCCUAACGCCACCUGCUGCAUCACACAGUGUGUUCCUAAACACCCAUGCAUGCCCCAAGGGCUUGUGUCUGCCCCCUUGUGCAGAACUGUUUAAAUUGCGCCAUGUGGUUCACUUGCAUAAAUCUGUUGGGAGCUGACUUGUCAGAGCAUUCAUUGAAGCCACUUUUACCUGGACUCCUCUCACCAAGCACAAGAUGCUCAGAUGGGCUUUGAUGGUAAGAUCUGAUUUUUUCAUUCUCAUUUUCCUACCCUCUUGUACUGCGACUGAGAUUCAAACCUUACAUUUUUUCUAACUAUGUUUCCAUGUUUGACCACAACAGGGCAGUCACCUUGCCUACAAAGCUUUAGUUUAUCCUAGUUAUUACAAAAAUGCUUAACGUGUACACGGUCAGAAAAAGCUUACAGCCCUGAUAGAGUUUAAGGUACAAAUAACAAUAAUGUACUCUUUAUUGUACAAAAAAAUGUUCUUUUGAGUCUAUUUCUGUACCUUAAAAGCUACAUUUACCUACAGCUAGGGUACAGUUGGCAGACCCUUGUGGGUAUAGCCCCAGUGACGAGUAACUGUACCCUCAAAGGUACAUAUCGGUACUUUUGUUCUGACAGUGUAGUGUACCCUAUCAUUCUCAGUUUUUCUUGAACUAAUAAUGUUUCCCCUUGAUACUGUUAUCCUGCUUUUAUGCUGAUUAGUCCCAAAAUUAUCCAAAAAAUCUAUCCAAAAUUACUUCAGAAUGACAUGGCAUCUGUUUCACAGUGCAUCCUACUACAUGCUGCCCAUCCGAUGCCUUUUGGAUCAGCAAGUUUUACAUCCUUGAACAAUGACUGCAAUUCCACCCAAUUCCUCCACCUCUUCACCAAAUGUGUCUCACCACCCAGACCAAUUAACAUGGAAUUAAGGAGAAAGUCUACAUCACCGUGGAAUUAUGAACCAUACAUAAGCCCCGACAUGGCCUAUGGCGACGGCAGGCUACUGCAGGCUCAGUGCAAGGACAGCAACUGCGUGGGAGGCUUUGGAUGGCAGUACCGGUCCAAACCCAUAAACCUCAACAUCCCGGUCGUGUUCCGGCGGCCCAUCAUCGGCACGCAGCCCGCCAACAGUACUCAGUACCGCCUGGAGCUCGGCCGCAUCAGCAUCACUGUCGGCUGCACCUGUGUGCGCGCCGGGUGAAAAACCGCGAUCGCCGCUGCCGAAAAAAAUGCAUUUAUUUGUAGAUAAUGCUGCUUCUGAUCCUAUUUGUAUAUAUAUUUAAAUCUUGUUCCUUUAUACAUUACAAUACUACCUGGCUGAAAUCCAGUGAACUAUGUGGUAGUUGUCAACCUUGGCGUCUAGGCUGCAAUAAAUUUAGAAAGCUAAAAACUAAACAUGACGCACUGUUCUUCUAACGGUACUAUUUUACAAUUAAAUAAUCGGCCUAAAUAAUAAUAAUAAUAACAACAACAAUGUAGUUGAACAACGUGCAGUGUCAAGAAUGUUAAGAAACUUUACUUCACACACAAAUAUCUAGAAAACAUGCUUGCUGAAUAGAAUCCAGAGUUUCAUUAAGUGUUUUUUAAAUGUCAGGCAUUUAUGUUACACUGAUUGUAAAAUGUUUCUCGUUGCCCUACUGAUUGUUUGUAGCAAAGCAAUUAAAACUUUACUGACUUUGCCAAA
This is a long non-coding RNA of Brienomyrus brachyistius, 4438 nucleotides long. RefSeq lists it as uncharacterized. The transcript is spliced from 2 exons. Lineage: Eukaryota; Metazoa; Chordata; Actinopteri; Osteoglossiformes; Mormyridae. The record is from RefSeq and is a predicted model, not a curated record.